CGCCCGCCCCCCCCCCUUCGGGGGGGAGGGUUGGCCGAGUGGGAGGGGGGCGAUCGUCCCUACCGCCCCUCCCCCCUGGAUCCGCUAGUGCACUGAAAUACUUUUCCAUUGUUCUUGUUUCGCGCAAUUCCAUGCUUUUAUCGUUCUCACUACGCUAUGAUCCUUCUUCUUGUGAUGUCCAAGGGCUGAGCCGAAGGCUCUUCGAGCCCUAAGUUUUAAAAAAAAACCUGUUUGGUCGUCCAGCCGAACAGUAAAAAAAAAAAAAAAAAC
Molecule: non-coding RNA, 270 nt
Organism: Biomphalaria pfeifferi
Lineage: Eukaryota; Metazoa; Mollusca; Gastropoda; Planorbidae
Source: the annotation of a GenBank genome assembly